This 883-nucleotide ribosomal RNA is filed under the name uncultured bacterium. RNAcentral describes it as "bacterial SSU rRNA". It matches the Rfam family "Bacterial small subunit ribosomal RNA", at positions 8 to 905 of the family's 1533-position model. The record is from RNAcentral.
AGAGUUUGAUCCUGGCUCAGGACGAACGCUGGCGGCGUGCUUAACACAUGCAAGUCGAGCGGUAAGGCCCUUCGGGGUACACGAGCGGCGAACGGGUGAGUAACACGUGGGUGACCUGCCCUUCACUCUGGGAUAAGCCUGGGAAACUGGGUCUAAUACCGGAUAUGACUCAUGAUCGCAUGGUUGUGGGUGGAAAGAUUUUUUGGUGGGGGAUGGGCCCGCGGCCUAUCAGCUUGUUGGUGGGGUGAUGGCCUACCAAGGCGACGACGGGUACCCGGCCUGAGAGGGCGACCGGCCACACUGGGACUGAGACACGGCCCAGACUCCUACGGGAGGCAGCAGUGGGGAAUAUUGCGCAAUGGGCGGAAGCCUGACGCAGCGACGCCGCGUGGGGGAUGACGGCCUUCGGGUUGUAAACCUCUUUCGGCCCCGACGAAGCGUGAGUGACGGUAGGGGUGGAAGAAGCACCGGCCAACUACGUGCCAGCAGCCGCGGUAAUACGUAGGGUGCGAGCGUUGUCCGGAAUUAUUGGGCGUAAAGAGCUCGUAGGCGGUCUGUCGCGUCGGUCGUGAAAACUUGGGGCUUAACCCUGAGCUUGCGGUCGAUACGGGCAUGACUGGAGUUCGGCAGGGGAGACUGGAAUUCCUGGUGUAGCGGUGAAAUGCGCAGAUAUCAGGAGGAACACCGGUGGCGAAGGCGGGUCUCUGGGCCGAUACUGACGCUGAGGAGCGAAAGCGUGGGGAGCGAACAGGAUUAGAUACCCUGGUAGUCCACGCCGUAAACGGUGGGCGCUAGGUGUGGGGGCCAUUCCACGGUCUCUGUGCCGUAGCUAACGCAUUAAGCGCCCCGCCUGGGGAGUACGGCCGCAAGGCUAAAACUCAAA